UAAGGAAUAUUGGACAAUGGAGGCAACUCUGAUCCAGCCAUGCCGCGUGAAGGAAUAAGGCCCUAUGGGUUGUAAACUUCUUUUAGACGGGACAAAACCCCUUUACGUGUAAAGGGUUGAUGGUACUGUCAGAAUAAGCAUCGGCUAACUUCGUGCCAGCAGCCGCGGUAAUACGUAGGGGGCAAGCGUUGUCCGGAUUUACUGGGUGUAAAGGGCGCGCAGGCGGGAUAAAAAGUCAGUGGUGAAAUCCUACAGCUUAACUGUAGAACUGCCUUNGAUACUUUUAUUCUUGAUUUCGGGAGAGAGAGACGGAAUUCCAGGUUUAGUGGUGAAAUACGUAGAUAUCUGGAAGAACACCAGUUGCGAAGGCGGUCUCUUGGUCCGACACUGACGCUGAGGCGCGAAAGCGUGGGG
This 414-nucleotide ribosomal RNA is filed under the name uncultured bacterium. RNAcentral describes it as "bacterial SSU rRNA". It matches the Rfam family "Bacterial small subunit ribosomal RNA", at positions 355 to 766 of the family's 1533-position model. The record is from RNAcentral.